AGAUGAGAAACAAAAAAAAAAAAAGUGUCCAUCUUCCUCCAUAGCUUGGCCGAAUGUCCUAAAGAAAGAAAGAAAAAAAUUUUGUUCAUCUCUUUUCACUCUCUUGUUGGCCGAAAAUACUAAGGAUAAGGAAGGAGUUUUGCUUCAUAUUUGGUUUGGAAGAGGAUUAGGAAGAGGUUGGCUAAACUUGCAUCAAGAUUAAGCUCAAGAGCAAAGGGGAGCUAAAUCCGAUAAAGGGAAGGAAAAAGUAGUUGAAUAGCCGUCGAAAUCGCUCGACAACAUCCGAGCUUAUACACUUGUGAAAAUUCCAGCAAUGAGGUUUCGCUCGUUAGCUAUCGG
Long non-coding RNA from Gossypium arboreum, 339 nucleotides. RefSeq lists it as uncharacterized. The record is from RefSeq and is a predicted model, not a curated record. The transcript has 3 exons. Lineage: Eukaryota; Viridiplantae; Streptophyta; Magnoliopsida; Malvales; Malvaceae.